UCCGCUGGAUAAAUGAGGACGUCUUUACAAAAUUUAACUACUGAAAAAUUCCGUGAUCAUCCCAAAACCUGGUGUCACAAGUACAUGAGCAAUUUCUAGGAAAUAAUGUAGUACAACAACCGUCUAGAAUACAAUAUUGGACAGAAAGUAAAUACAGUAAUUUGAAAGAGACUCUGUUGGCUGCAUGUCGUCUCAAGAAGUGCAGCUCACCUAAGUCUUUGUAUCAAUCAUGCUGCUACGCCCACUAGGCCACUAGAGAUGCAUGUGCCUGUGCAACAAAAAUGCACAGCAAGUGUAGUAUGAGUACGAAAACAACAUGCACCCAAUGAAUAUCCCGUCUUAUCUCGAAGAAGUAGAGACGAGAAGUCGACUUCGACACUUACUAAUGGUCCAAUGAUAAUAUAGUAAAAGUGUGAGAAAUUCAUGGAUUUCAUAAGCAAAAUUAAAAUCAUAAAGCCGGAAAGCAGGUAAACAACUUCUCAAAUAACAAGGAUUUCCAAAGAUUUACUUUUCAUUAUCUUUAUCAGUUUAUCUCUGGCCAGGAAAAGCAAUUAUCAACAUUAAAAAUUCUUAGGCAAGUAAUACAAGCAUGCGCUUAUCAUGCCGAUGUCGUACGACCCGAUCCAACAGAAAUGUAAAAUGUGCAAUACUGAGGGUCGAACGACGCGAACCAUAGAUGCAUCUAUUACCCCGCUUGCAAAUCAUACAUGCGACACGGUCAACAUAAAUAAACAAACACCCUGCUAGCAAAUCAUCCAUGCGACGCAGGUACACAUAGAAAUACAUGCUCAAAUAACAAAUUAAAAAUUUAUCGGGGAACGUUUAUCCAAAUAAAAUCCAAUUCUCUUUUAGCAAUUUAAGAAAAUAAAGUUUAAUCCCUUUUUGAAAUUCAUUUACCAAUUCGAUAAGAUUUAAACAAUUCAACUGCCAACAAGAUUAUAGAUAUUCCAAGUAUAGCAUGCUUUUGGGUCCUAGACUACCGGAUUUACACAUAAUAGUAGCUACGCACGGACUCUCGUUACCUCAUGCAUACGUAGCCCUCACAAAUAGGAGAACAUAACCAAUUAUUUCACCUAUGGGGAUAAUUCCCUCUUACAUGAUUAGAAAGGAGACUCACUUCGCUCCGAAAUUUCCAUAACCGGCUUCCAAGCCCUUCCAACGACUCAAAUUGAUGUACAACGCCCCAAAACUAUUCAAAUAACUGGCAAACCAAUAAAAAUUCACUCUAAUACUUGUAACAAUUAAAAUUAUAUAAGUUCUCAUCUCCGCUCGAAAAGUUGACCAAAAUGCCCUUGGGCCCACGUGCCUGGAUUCCGAAAUUUCUCGGAGAUAAAUUCUGCCCAUAGCUUUACUAACUCAAAUAUACAAUUUGUUCUAAUUUUCAUGCUCAAAUUCAAGGUAAAAGUCCAAAAUUCUAAAUUCUAGGUCUUUCCUAAAAAUUCCAAAUUUAUACUAAUUUUCCAUGUCUAAAUCCAUGUAAGAUCACAUAUUUAACUCAAAAAUAAGAAGAAAUCACUUACCUAGUGUUGCUUGGUGAAAAUCCCUCCUUGAGCUCUCAAAAAUCGUCCAAG
RNAcentral lists this long non-coding RNA (1571 nucleotides) under Nicotiana tabacum (common tobacco). RNAcentral's name for it is "long non-coding RNA (NTAB_LNC014580)". The record is from RNAcentral. Lineage: Eukaryota; Viridiplantae; Streptophyta; Magnoliopsida; Solanales; Solanaceae.